UCAUGAGCCGCUGGCACAACAGGUCGUUCAUUUGAGACUGUCACAGAGACAGAGAAGUUGCACAAAAAUGCACAAGUUUAGUAAAGGGAUUUAGUCUUUGGGUUAACACGAAACCCCUUGUUUCUUUAAAAAGGCAAUGAGAACAGCCAAAAGAGCGACUUUUAAGGUAUCUCACAGCAUAUUUGAAUUUUCAUCCUGAGUUUCACCAUGUCCAGCAAAGUUUUGGGCUGUCUGAGUACACUGACAUUGAGAGUAAAACAGUUAGGUCAGUUACCACGCCUUUCAAACUGGUUACCCUCUCUCCCAUUACCUCAGGCCACCGUGCUUGCCUCUGAUGUGCCCAGCCUUUUCCGCGAGCCAUACAUCCUUUCUGGCUACCGACCUGUGAAUCAGGAAUGGCGGAGCUACUUCUGUAGCCUCUUCCAACGCCACAAUGAGUCGCUCAAUGUGUGGACACACCUGCUGGCAAUCCCUGCGGUUCUACUCCGCUUUUCUUUCUUCGCAGGUGCGUGGGGGCUGACUGUGAAUGCGGCCUCUUUGCCUUUGCUUUUGUACGUGCUCUCCUCGCUUACCUACCUUAGCUGCAGCGUGGCCGCCCAUCUGCUGCAGUCACACUCUGAGCUGGCCCAUUACUCCCUAUUCUUCCUGGACUAUGUUGGAGUAGCAGUUUACCAAUAUGGUUGUGCAUUAGGCCUUUAUUUUUACUGUUCUGAGCAUGCAUGGCGACAAAGCCCGGUGGGUGCUGUGUUCCUACCCGGUGCUGCUGUGCUAGCCUGGGUGUCCGUUGCCAGCUGCUGCUUUGCCAAAUUCCAUUACCGUCGCCCAUACCCCCUCUGUAGGAAGAUCUGUCAGAUCAUUCCAACGAGCCUGGCAUACAUGCUCGACAUCAGCCCUGUAGCGCAUCGCCUGGCAACCAGAUCUUGGGAGGAGCCGGUGUUAAUGUUCCAUGCCCUUCAAAUUGUGUUCUUCAUGUUAGCAGCACUGUUUUUCUCUUGCCCUAUUCCAGAGCGCUUCUUUCCAGGAAGAUUUGAUAUUGUGGGCCAUGGCCAUCAGAUCUUCCACAUCUUCCUGGCCAUGUGUACUCUGUGCCAGCUGGAAGCACUGUUUAAAGACUUUCUGGUGCACCAGCAGUCUGUAUUAGAGGUGCAUGGAGAACACUUUAUCUUACUUGCUGGAGGGUCUUUCUUUGUCUUGGUUUUGUGCAGUGUUCUGACUGCAAUUCUUAUGAGAGGUGCAGUGCAGAAGCAGCUAAAGAAAAAAGUAUCUGACUAAAAAAAAUAUAGAAAGUAUUUAACAAUGAAGUUCUGCUUAGUUAUACAGCACCAACCAGAGGUAUUUAAUAAUAUAUAAAUUUUAAGUUUACUAAAAAAUAGUAAUCCACUACAAAUGACUAAUUAUUUCUCUAAAAAAUACUUUUUGGGGGAAAGUAAUUACAUUAAUAUUUACUUUACUUUUAUGUUACUUUCUAACACAAUUUUUCCACUCAACAAAGUCAAACUAAUGUCUAUAUUUCUUUCAUGUUCAUUGUUUCACACAAGUCAUACACUUAGCACAUCACAUUUCUUCUUCACAAUGACUCGUUACAGGGCCAUAAUUCAUGUAUUCUACAUAAAUAAUACAUUAGAAAUAAGCAUAACCCUAUAAUGUACUUAAAAGCAAUAAAAUUAAUUGAAAGUCAGUAACUGUAAACUGAUUACAAGAAUUUCAAAUGUAAUGCAAUACAUUAUUUGACUAAAAAUGUAUUAAAUUACAGUAACUUAUUGCUUUGUAAUUGAAUUACACCCUGUAAAUGUAUUAUUCAUUGUUAGUUCAUGUUAACUAACUUAGUUAACUAAUAGUAGCGAAUACAACCUUAUUGUAAAAUGGCACCAGAAAUAUAAUAAAUAUUGAAAAAAUAAAUAGGCCUAUUAAUAAAUCAUAAACUGUGUUCAGACAUCAUCAUAUCCAGAUCUGAACAGAAUAAUUUAUUUUUGUGCAGUUUGUUUAUUAUGAGUAAUGUGAUGGGAUAAAGUAUUUUUAUUUAUUUAUUUAUUUUGACAUGCAAAGUCCUGUUAUAAUCACAUUUUGAAAUCCCAGAUAUCAGAUAUGCCUUAGGGAAGCAUUUUAUUGUUUAACUAUCAAAUACUUUUACAAAUCAUAUCAAGCACAGAUACUGAGUGGGUUUUCCCCACAAAUGAACUCACUGUUCAAGGCAGGAUAGUGAACCACUUCGCCAACAUUCCUCUGAGAUCCAGUACUGUAUGGGUUUGCAUAAAUGGCCUAUUUACUUGAAAACUGUUUAGAGUCUGGGACAAUAUGUUAGGCUUUGUCAAAGCAAAAACAUUCAAAUUAAGGGGUAAAGCUGAGUUUGGCCCCAACUGGAAUGAGGAAGGGUGGAUGAGGGGAACAAAGUAGUUAGAGUUGUUUUAGAUUCUCUUGAACAAAUGAAGUACUGCGAUGCUUUUAAUGUAUGCUUUUUUUUUUUUAUCUUUCUCUGUAUGAAUUCUUAUUCACUGUAUUUGAUUCCUCAUAUCAAAUCAUUUCUACCUCGUUGUGGUAGAAAUAUCAGUUUGAACCCUGUGUUUUAACAAAAGGUUCUUUAGGUACCUUUGUAUUUUCAAUGUGUUUACAGUAAAUUACUAAUGUUCUUACAAAUGUUUGGUGAGUUUUGCAUAUUUAUAUUCAUUUCCUCAGAUCAGUUCUCAUGAACCUUAGUUGCCUUAAUGAUUAUUUUGCCACAAUUGUCUUUUAGUCAAAUUAUAAUAUAAAAUAUUAUAUUAUUUAUAGAUUUAAGCUGUCUAAAGAAUGAGAUCCUGAAGUAUCUUUUGAAAAUGUACUUUGUCGCCUAUAAUAUCAAGGCUAAUAAGCAGGUUAAAGAAUUAACUGAGACUAAUUAACUUUGUAAUAAUAAUAACGUUACAUUUAUUACUUUGUUUACUGUAUCAGACCGGAUGUUUUCUUGAAAGGGUCAACCACAUUAUCAACAUAUAGUUCCAAAAAUGUGAGACCGCACUGAAAAUCUAGGAUUUGUUUUCUUUUUACUUAAAUGAGGAAAUAAAACAGUAAAUAAACCUGGAAACUUGUAAACCAAAGAAAAGUUUUGUGGAAAAUGUAAAAAAGAAUAAUUAUAUUUAUAGCAUUUAUAGCAUUAUGUGCAUUAUUUAUAGCUCACUAAUUGAACAAGCAAAUUUGUGACACUGACCAAGUUAACUUGUUCCUUGCAUCCAUUGAAUCUUACAAGAUGCUCUUUGAAACAUGCUGGGAUAACAUAAAGCAUCAGGUUUUGACAGCUUAAUACUGCAUAGCAUAAGGUGGGCAUACCAAAUACUAAAAAUUCUAAAAUUCAUAUACAUUUUUCAAUUCAAAGAUUACAUUUGAAAAUAAUGCAAAAUAGAAGCAAUUUCACUAGUGGUCUAAGAUGUUUGGACUCCACUGUGUGUCAUGCCUCUAAAAUACAUGAGGAGGCAGCAGUGUUCCAUUCAAAAGCUGAUCAGUUGUUUAGUUUAAUUAGGUAUCAUUAAAAACAAAAAGAGUCAUACAGAUAUAAAAUAUGAAUUUAAAUGGUACUUUUUAAAUAAAACUUUAAUAUUUGAAGUUAAUCACAUUGACAAGAAAAAUGCGAGAGAGGUGAAUUCUUUAGAGGGAGAUAAGAAUUAGGCAUUGUAGAGGUUGGAAUGCAGAAUGAGGAAGUUUGUGACUCAGUGUCCCAGUUGGAUCAGUGUGUUUGUGGAGAGCAAUGACACACAGUAUAGGCAAGAUGAUGACAGGUUAUCUACUUUUAUUAUGUAACUGAUGUAAAAGAAACUGGAUGAAGACUUAUGGCUCCUGUUGAGGAGGGAGUUAUAACCUGGUUAUCAGGUUGUUCUUCCUCCCUACAUAUUACCAUUGUGUCUGCCCUCUUCAUCAUCACUUACAUCACACUCUACAGUCUUUGCGCAAGAUGUUUCAGUGCCAGUGAAUCCCCCAUGCAUUUCCACAGACGAGAGAAAAGGAAUAGUCCAACUGCAUUUCCACAAAAUGAAGUACCUACUGAGCAGUUCAACAGAAAUGUAAACAAGUUUGAACAUGGUCAUUCACAUUUCAACCAGGAACUCAUUCCCAUCCCCUCUCAAAUUCCUGGAGAUUCGAUGGGAACAUCAACUCCUCUAUGUGUUAAAAUCCCACCACUUCCUUCCCUCCCAUCGGAUCCCAUGGCUCACCUUGAGCCUCUGAGACGUUCAUUUCAUCAACAGGACAGUGGGAAUGUUACAUCCCAGAGUUAUGACAACUCCCUUUGCAGUAUUCCAGCUGCAAAGUAUCUAACAGAUCACAUACACUCUCUUAUGGAAUUUGAAUUGAAUGAAGAAAAUCCUUAUGAGUGCAUUAGGGAACCUCUAAGUGACAAAGCUGAUGGGGAGAGUGAGAGCCCUUCCCCAGCAAUGGCAAAGCUGCUGGAGCCUGCUGUUAAUCACUCAGUCACAGCCCUCAACAAUCUAGUAAACAACCAGGCAGUGGGGCAGCCUCUCAUUUCUCAAACUCAUAGUGACCAAUAUUUGACUAGCACAGAACCAACUGUUGUUUACGCUGCAGUGAACUGGAAAACCAAAAGUCAAAAGAACACAGAAGCUCUGUUUCAUACAGACGCUGUGGUUGAUAUGGCUGAUAUUGCUGAGGAAGCUGUCCCUCCCAUUCCAGACAAACAUUUCUAGUAUCAUGAAAAGGCACCAUUGUGAUUCAUAAUAUUGAUGUAUUUCUUACUUUUCACCAGUUUUGUAUUUUGUUUUACCAACUGUACUUGCAUGUUACAUAACAUGUAAUAAAUAUCAGUUCUAACAUGCAACUUUUUGUUAAACAGUAUAAAUCAAGACCUCUCCGCCUGGGUUAUUCUAGGUCAAUGUAGAGUCACAUGACACAAUACCCAGACUGGAUUCAGAGACUGAAACCCAUCAUGCCUGUGCUGUCCAGACCUGAAAUCCCCUUUGGAGUCGGCCGACAGAAGAAAGCUUAUAAUCCCCAGACAUUACAUGACGGACGUUUUCUUCCAAACGUCUGUUUGCGAAUAAACAAUAAUUACGGAAUAUUUAGGAAAUAGCCAAAAUAAGGAUGGUAAAAUUAUGUAGGUGAACAGUGACACAUCAUGGAAAUGUCGCAGGCAGUCAUCUAAAGUGGAAAUUUAGAUUUUUAUUUUGUUUAUUUUUAUUAAUCUGCAAUAAAACAAACAUUUAUGAAU
Molecule: RNA transcript, 5188 nt
Organism: Myxocyprinus asiaticus (Chinese sucker)
Lineage: Eukaryota; Metazoa; Chordata; Actinopteri; Cypriniformes; Catostomidae
Exons: 6
Source: RefSeq, a predicted model, not a curated record